UAAAAAAAGGUAAGCUACUAAGAGCGAAUGGUGGAUGCCUUGACUGGUAAAGGCGAUGAAGGACGUACUAGACUGCGAUAAGCUACGGGGAGCUGUCAAGAAGCUUUGAUCCGUAGAUUUCCGAAUGGGGCAACCCAAUGUAUAGAGAUAUACAUUACCUAUAUAGGAGCGAACGAGGGGAAUUGAAACAUCUUAGUACCCUCAGGAAAAGAAAUCAAUAGAGAUUGCGUCAGUAGCGGCGAGCGAAAGCGCAAGAGGGCAAACCCAGUGCUUGCACUGGGGGUUGUAGGACUGCAAUGUGCAAGAGCUGAGUUUAGCAGAACAUUCUGGAAAGUAUAGCCAUAGAGGGUGAUAGUCCCGUAUGCGAAAAACAAAGCUUAGCUAGCAGUAUCCUGAGUAGGGCGGGACACGAGGAAUCCUGUCUGAAUCCGGGUCGACCACGAUCCAACCCUAAAUACUAAUACCAGAUCGAUAGUGCACAAGUACCGUGAGGGAAAGGUGAAAAGAACUGAGGUGAUCAGAGUGAAAUAGAACCUGAAACCAUUUGCUUACAAUCAUUCAGAGCACUAUGUAGCAAUACAGUGUGAUGGACUGCCUUUUGCAUAAUGAGCCUGCGAGUUGUGGUGUCUGGCAAGGUUAAGCAAACGCGAAGCCGUAGCGAAAGCGAGUCUGAAUAGGGCGCUUAGUCAGAUGCUGCAGACCCGAAACGAAGUGAUCUAUCCAUGAGCAAGUUGAAGCUAGUGUAAGAACUAGUGGAGGACUGAACCCAUAGGCGUUGAAAAGCCCCGGGAUGACUUGUGGAUAGGGGUGAAAGGCCAAUCAAACUUCGUGAUAGCUGGUUCUCUCCGAAAUAUAUUUAGGUAUAGCGUUGUGUCGUAAUAUAAGGGGGUAGAGCACUGAAUGGGCUAGGGCAUACACCAAUGUACCAAACCCUAUCAAACUCCGAAUACCUUAUAUGUAAUCACAGCAGUCAGGCGGCGAGUGAUAAAAUCCGUCGUCAAGAGGGAAACAACCCAGACUACCAGCUAAGGUCCCUAAAUCUUACUUAAGUGGAAAACGAUGUGAAGUUACUUAAACAACCAGGAGGUUGGCUUAGAAGCAGCCAUCCUUUAAAGAAAGCGUAAUAGCUCACUGGUCUAGUGAUUUUGCGCGGAAAAUAUAACGGGGCUAAAGUAAGUACCGAAGCUGUAGACUUGCACACAACUUAGAUUAUUUAAGUUUAGAAUAUGAGAAACUAAGUUAUAUGUUUAGUUAUAUUUUUACUGAUUUUUAUAGAGUAAAGAUAGAAAUAAAACUUAGUAAAAUCAGUAAAAAUAUUCUUAGGCUAAAGUUAAGUAGUUUAAGUUGUGUGCAAGUGGUAGGAGAGCGUUCUAUUUGCGUCGAAGGUAUACCGGUAAGGAGUGCUGGAGCGAAUAGAAGUGAGCAUGCAGGCAUGAGUAGCGAUAAUUAAUGUGAGAAUCAUUAACGCCGUAAACCCAAGGUUUCCUACGCGAUGCUCGUCAUCGUAGGGUUAGUCGGGUCCUAAGUCGAGUCCGAAAGGGGUAGACGAUGGCAAAUUGGUUAAUAUUCCAAUACCAACAUUAGUGUGCGAUGGAAGGACGCUUAGGGCUAAGGGGGCUAGCGGAUGGAAGUGCUAGUCUAAGGUUGUAGGAGGUUAUACAGGCAAAUCCGUAUAACAAUACUCCGAGAACUGAAAGGCUUUUUGAAGUCUUCGGAUGGAUAGAAGAACCCCUGAUGCCGUCGAGCCAAGAAAAGUUUCUAAGUUUAGCUAAUGUUGCCCGUACCGUAAACCGACACAGGUGGGUGGGAUGAGUAUUCUAAGGCGCGUGGAAGAACUCUCUUUAAGGAACUCUGCAAAAUAGCACCGUAUCUUCGGUAUAAGGUGUGGUUAGCUUCGUACUAGGAUUUACUCCGAAAGCGAAGAAACUUACAACAAAGAGUCCCUCCCGACUGUUUACCAAAAACACAGCACUCUGCUAACUCGUAAGAGGAUGUAUAGGGUGUGACGCCUGCCCGGUGCUCGAAGGUUAAUUGAUGGGGUUAGCAUUAGCGAAGCUCUUGAUCGAAGCCCGAGUAAACGGCGGCCGUAACUAUAACGGUCCUAAGGUAGCGAAAUUCCUUGUCGGUUAAAUACCGACCUGCAUGAAUGGCGUAACGAGAUGGGAGCUGUCUCAAAGAGGGAUCCAGUGAAAUUGUAGUGGAGGUGAAAAUUCCUCCUACCCGCGGCAAGACGGAGAGACCCCGUGGACCUUUACUACAGCUUGACACUGCUAUUUGGAUAAGAAUGUGCAGGAUAGGUGGGAGGCUUUGAGUAUAUGACGCCAGUUGUAUAUGAGCCAUUGUUGAGAUACCACUCUUUCUUAUUUGGGUAGCUAACCAGCUUGAGUUAUCCUCAAGUGGGACAAUGUCUGGUGGGUAGUUUGACUGGGGCGGUCGCCUCCCAAAUAAUAACGGAGGCUUACAAAGGUUGGCUCAUAGCGGUUGGAAAUCGCUAGUAGAGUAUAAAGGUAUAAGCCAGCUUAACUGCAAGACAUACAAGUCAAGCAGAGACGAAAGUCGGUCUUAGUGAUCCGGUGGUUCUGUGUGGAAGGGCCAUCGCUCAAAGGAUAAAAGGUACCCCGGGGAUAACAGGCUGAUCUCCCCCAAGAGCUCACAUCGACGGGGAGGUUUGGCACCUCGAUGUCGGCUCAUCGCAUCCUGGGGCUGGAGCAGGUCCCAAGGGUAUGGCUGUUCGCCAUUUAAAGCGGUACGCGAGCUGGGUUCAGAACGUCGUGAGACAGUUCGGUCCCUAUCUGCCGUGGGCGUAAGAAGAUUGAAGAGAUUUGACCCUAGUACGAGAGGACCGGGUUGAACAAACCACUGGUGUAGCUGUUGUUCUGCCAAGAGCAUCGCAGCGUAGCUAAGUUUGGAAAGGAUAAACGCUGAAAGCAUCUAAGCGUGAAGCCAACUCUAAGAUGAAUCUUCUCUAAGCUCUCUAGAAGACUACUAGUUUGAUAGGCUGGGUGUGUAAUGGAUGAAAGUCCUUUAGCUGACCAGUACUAAUAGAGCGUUUGGCUUAUCUUUAAUAAAGCAU
RNAcentral lists this ribosomal RNA (3073 nucleotides) under Campylobacter jejuni. RNAcentral describes it as "23S ribosomal RNA". It matches the Rfam family "Bacterial large subunit ribosomal RNA". Lineage: Bacteria; Pseudomonadati; Campylobacterota; Epsilonproteobacteria; Campylobacterales; Campylobacteraceae. The record is from RNAcentral.